This 506-nucleotide ribosomal RNA is filed under the name Fusarium chlamydosporum. RNAcentral's name for it is "eukaryotic LSU rRNA". The stretch from base 139 to 292 matches the Rfam family "5.8S ribosomal RNA". The record is from RNAcentral. Lineage: Eukaryota; Fungi; Ascomycota; Sordariomycetes; Hypocreales; Nectriaceae.
UCACUCCCAACCCCUGUGACAUACCUAUACGUUGCCUCGGCGGAUCAGCCCGCGCCCCGUAAAACGGGACGGCCCGCCCGAGGACCCCUAAACUCUGUUUUUAGUGGAACUUCUGAGUAAAACAAACAAAUAAAUCAAAACUUUCAACAACGGAUCUCUUGGUUCUGGCAUCGAUGAAGAACGCAGCAAAAUGCGAUAAGUAAUGUGAAUUGCAGAAUUCAGUGAAUCAUCGAAUCUUUGAACGCACAUUGCGCCCGCCAGUAUUCUGGCGGGCAUGCCUGUUCGAGCGUCAUUUCAACCCUCAAGCUCAGCUUGGUGUUGGGACUCGCGGUAACCCGCGUUCCCCAAAUCGAUUGGCGGUCACGUCGAGCUUCCAUAGCGUAGUAAUCAUACACCUCGUUACUGGUAAUCGUCGCGGCCACGCCGUUAAACCCCAACUUCUGAAUGUUGACCUCGGAUCAGGUAGGAAUACCCGCUGAACUUAAGCAUAUCAAUAAGCGGAGGAA